GGAAGGAUCAUUAACACGUAUCCACGUAUUAACCAAAUGUGAACUUGUUUUCAACUCCCUGUAUUUGCACAUGAAUUGGAAAGGAAAUGAAAGUGUUUGAAUGGGACUUUCGGGUCGCCAUUUCAUUUUCUUAUACGCUUGACUUCGGUCGAGUAUACAAUUGUAGUGUUGAUCAGGCCAAAAUUUCUUAUAUGUUUUACUCCCCAUUCAAAGGUGAGCAUAUGAGAAGCUACUAAAUUAACUUAUUUCACCCCCUUUUUGCUAGUUGACUUUUUAUAUGUUGUUAUCUUUAUUGAAUUAAUUUUCUGUAAUGAUCUCACACGUUUAAUUACUUGAACGUUAAAAAUACAACUCUUAGCAAUGGAUAUCUAGGUUCUCGCAACGAUGAAGAACGCAGCGAAAUGCGAUACGUAAUGCGAAUUGCAGAAUUCAGUGAAUCAUCAAAUCUUUGAACGCAAAUUGCGCUCUUGGGUAGCCCUAGGAGCACGCCUCUCUCAGUAUCGGUUCAACAACCUCUCAGCAGCGUAUGCAAAUACGUGUUGGCUGGAAAAUGAGAGUCUGUACAUUUUAUUGCGCAGUCUCUUUAAAAAUAUGGAGUGAGUGCAUCAGACUAAUCAGCUUAAUCUUUUGGGAUUAAUAGCUGGUCUUGACUGUUGCGCUUGAGUGACGUGAAUACUGACCUUUAUGGUCUCCUUUUACGUUUAUCUUAAGUGUAAUAUUAUAAAGUUGAGAUCAGUGAACGUUUAGUUCGAACACUCAUGUAUCGUGGCGCAAGCUACAAUCGGCCCUAAUUAAUUUAAUUUAUUAAUUCGAGUCUGAAUUUUGAUCUGAGAUGAAGCGAGACAACCCCCUGAAUUUAAGCAUAUUAAUAAGGGGAGGAAAAGAAACUAACAAGGAUUCCCCCAGUAACGGCGAGUGAAGCGGGAAGAGCUCAAUUUGAAAAUCGAUUUCCUAAGCGGGACAUCGAAUUGUAGCCUAGAGACGUACUAUCAGCUGAAACCUGGGUAUAAGUUCUUUGGAAUGAGGCAUCAUAGAGGGUGAGAAUCCCGUAUAUGACCCAAAGCUUUCAGCGUACGAUGUAUGUUCAUCGAGUCGAGUUGUUUGGGAUUGCAGCUCUAAAUGGGUGGUAAGUUUCAUCUAAAGCUAAAUAAUGGCGAGAGACCGAUAGCGAACAAGUACCGUGAGGGAAAGAUGAAAAGAACUUUGAAAAGAGAGUUAAAAGUACUCGAAAUUGCUAAGAGGGAAGCGCUGUCAACCAGUGAUAUGCGUCAUUCAUCGCUUUCAGCCCCACUAGAUGUUGUGAGUAGUAUUUAACUCUGCUUGCGGCAUCGAAAAGGUGGUUGGGAGUUUAGGAUGGCGUGUCAGUCAAGAUCCAUUUGAUGAGUGGAAGAAAGGAGUGGGAAAGGUAGGACAUCCGUGUCUGUUAUAGUCCCAUUUCUCUACCUCGCGUUGGAUGGAGGAAGGAAUAGUGCGCCGCUUGCGGCUUAGUCCCGCGCUCCUGUGUACUCAGCUGCUCUGAUAGCAAUGCUAUCCUUGUGGUGAAGGUGCAUACUGGGUGCGAGGAUUCUAUGUGCUAUCACGAUCUUGUACGAAAUGGUUGUCAUCGACCCGUCUUGAAACACGGACCAAGGAGUCUAACAUCUAUGCGAGUAUUUGAGUGAAAAACUCUGAUGCGCAAUGAAAGUAAAGGUAGCUUCGGCUGCUGAGGUAGGAAUCCGGUCAAACGGAGGCACUAUCGACCGAUCAUCACUUGUGAAAGAUUUGAGUAAGAGCAUAUCUGUUGGGACCCGAAAGAUGGUGAUCUAUGCCUGAACAGGGUGAAGCCAGGGGAAACUCUGGUGGAGGCUCGUAGCGAUACUGACGUGCAAAUCGUUCGUCUGAUUUGGGUAUAGGGGCGAAAGACUAAUCGAACCAUCUAGUAGCUGGUUCCCUC
Molecule: unclassified non-coding RNA, 1933 nt
Filed under: uncultured fungus
Lineage: Eukaryota; Fungi
Description: sequence contains 18S rRNA gene, ITS1, 5.8S rRNA gene, ITS2, 28S rRNA gene
Rfam family: Eukaryotic large subunit ribosomal RNA (bases 824-1933)
Source: RNAcentral